CUGGAGUUNCUAGUAAUCGCAGAUCAGAAUGCUGCGGUGAAUGCGUUCCCGGGUCUUGUACACACCGCCCGUCACACCACGGGAGUUGGAGACGCCCGAAGCCGAUUAUCUAACCUUUUGGAAGAAGGCGUCGAAGGUGGAAUCAAUAACUGGGGUGAAGUCGUAACAAGGUAGCCGUAUCGGAAGGUGCGGCUGGAUCACCUCCUUUCUAAGGA
This 215-nucleotide ribosomal RNA is filed under the name Clostridioides difficile. RNAcentral describes it as "partial 16S ribosomal RNA". It matches the Rfam family "Bacterial small subunit ribosomal RNA", at positions 1326 to 1533 of the family's 1533-position model. Lineage: Bacteria; Bacillati; Bacillota; Clostridia; Peptostreptococcales; Peptostreptococcaceae. The record is from RNAcentral.